RNAcentral lists this small nuclear RNA (103 nucleotides) under Chinchilla lanigera (long-tailed chinchilla). Lineage: Eukaryota; Metazoa; Chordata; Mammalia; Rodentia; Chinchillidae. The record is from RNAcentral.
UUGCUUCAGCAGCACAUACAGUAAAACUGAAAUAACAUAGAGAGGAUUAGCAUGGCCCCUGCCCAAGUAUGAGGUACAAAUUUCUGAGGUGUUCUCAUAUUAA